This is a long non-coding RNA of Anolis carolinensis (green anole), 2695 nucleotides long. The record is from Ensembl. Lineage: Eukaryota; Metazoa; Chordata; Lepidosauria; Squamata; Anolidae.
CCUCCUCUCUCCGUUGGAAAGUUGCAGAAGUAAGAGUUCAACCUGUGGUGGGAAUGGCGCAAAGGGAUCCUGUAGGCAUCGUUCAUGCAGAUCACCACAUGAGGGUCAUGUUACACGCCGUCUCCAUGUCCAUUAGAGACCUGUGUGAAAUUGCACCAAAGGCCACUGGAACAUCAUCAAGGUGCAAAGAAUCUGUGAAGAUCGUUUUGAAUUCUGCUCUUGCCUUCUGGAGCCUUGGCUCUUCCUCCCCAUUUGGUCCCGUCUGCAAACCUGGUGAUCGUGCCUUCUAAACCGCCAUCCAAGUCAUGAAUCAAGAUCUUCUACUUGUUCGUUCUCUUUCCACUUCUUCUUCCUCUGCUUUCUCUUCUUUCUCCUCCUCCUUCUCAUCAAAGUUUUCUGCCUGCCGGAAAAUCCAUUUCUCCCCCCGGUUGGGAAGCGAAUAAUAGAAAACAUUGCAUCCAACCUUCUUUAUUGAUCGAAUUAGCACAUCUCGCUCAGUUUGUUUCCAAACAUUUCUAUUUCGGUAUUUAUUAAACAUUGGUGAGACAAAUACAGGCCAAGCCUCCCUUUCCCUGAAUGCCUAAGACUGGAAGCAUUUGGGAUUUCGGACUCUCGGGAUGUGGGAAUACUCGUGGUUUCUGUACACGGUGGACGGAAGUUGCUGUUCUGGAUUUGGGACUGUGGAUAAGGAAGGCUGUGUUCCGCUGCUUGUCUCACAUGGGCCCAUGUCCUUCUAGUCAAGAGGAUGGAAGAGUGGAUGAGAGCGAGGCGAGGAAGGGUUAAGCCACUCUCGAUGGUGGAGGAACCCCACUAUUCUCCUUGGCAACCGUCUCCGGGGGAAUAGCAUCCUUUCCACCCACCAGCCAUGGAGCAGAUGCUUCCGGCAAGGGCACCAGGGAGGGCUUGCAAAGCACCGCCAUUCAUCCCGGGCAACAAAAGGCUUAUAGAGAAGGUGGGAUGGGACAAUCGAAUGCAUUUAGGGACCCAAAUAGGAGAGGGGCUUGGCUAUCCCUGGAAUUUGGACCUCUCCAUCUGGCCAGAUGUGGGUUGGACUGGGCCAAGUUUAGAGGUUGAGAGGACGUGCUUCUUAUCAAGUUUGCAGGACAGAACAGAACAGACAGAAAGGAGUGGCACGUCUUAAGGAAUGUCAUUACCCAAAUGAAAAGCUCCCCCAGGGAAGGAAGGGCAGGGACGCGUUGUUCCGGAGACGCACACAAACACUCUCCGCCAAGGCACAGAAAUGUACAGGAGACGGAGCGGAGGGAGCAAGAGCGGAGAUGAAGGACCAGCGACGGUGGACCCCAGCCUUCCCACCCCAAAUCCUUCCAGUUGCCAAGAGUCGAAAGGUUGGGAUUUGCAAUGAACCUGGUUGCAAUUUGAUCAACCCCAAAGUUGAUAUGAUUUUCCUGAUGCUUGAGGGAUGCAUCAAGUGGUCUCCAAGCAGGAGGCAUCUCAACCGUUGACUUGCCCAAGCUCAGCCAAUGGGUGUAGGAGCCACAGUGACGCAAUGGGAUAAACACUUGUGAAGGUUGGGUUGCUGACCUGAAAGUUGCCGGUUCAAAUCCGCGAGAUGGGGUGAGCUCCCGCCUGUCAGCUCUAGCUUGUGGAGACCUGAGAGAAGCCUCACAGCAGGAUGGUAACACAUUCCGGGCAAUGUCCCUUGGGCAACAUCUUUGCAGACGGCCAAUUCUCUCACACCAGAAGUGACUCGUAGUAUGUUCUCAAGUCGAGUAAGCUCCCGCCUGUCAGCUCUAGCUUGUGGGGAUAUGAGAGGAGGCUCCCAGCAGGAUGGUAAUACAUUGGUAAUGUCCCCUGGGCAACAUCUUUGUAGACGGCCAAUUCUCUCACACCAGAAGCGACCUGCAGUAUAUAUACCUCACAACCUCUGAGGAUGCCUGCCAUAGAUGUGGGCGAAACGUCAGGAGAGAAUACUUCUGGAACAUGGCCAUACAGCCCAGAAAACACACAACCAUGACUUGACAUAUGUUCUCAAGUUGCUUCUGACAUGUUAAAAAAGCCAAUGGGUUUCCACAGCUGAGCAAGAACUCGAACCCAGGGCUCCAGAGUUGUCAUCCAAUGCUCCGACCAUACCAUCUCAAUAGGAUUUACCAAUGUGAGGAAUCCACCACCGAUCCAAAGGGUCAACUCCAGUUGGGAUCCAACCUUUUACCCCUCGCGAAGUGUCACAAGUGGUACAACAUAAUAUGCUCCUUUCCUCCAGACUGUCCUUUCUUCUCCUUCCUCCUCGCAGGCUUCCAGAACGUUCCGGUCGACUGGUUUGGAAAAUGGGAUGUUCGGUAACGGCUCAAUCGUUGGGUGCCACCACGCUUCUUUCUUUCUCUCUCCUCGGUGAGCCUCGCUUUGUGGAUUUAUGGGACCGUACAGCCCCAUAAUGCAUUUUUUAAUCACCCUGUCGACUUGCGGGGACAAAGAGUCGGACGCAGAGAUUACUUCCGACAGUAACAUCUUGUUCUGGAGAAGACCAGCGGGAACACUCAAGAGCAGGCGAAAACACGCGCAGAACGUUGCGCCUCCUGCUUCAAAGGUAGUCACCGCCGAGUCUCCCAACUGUCCGUAAUUUUUAGCUAGAACUACAAUCUUCUCUGUCUCCAUGGCCUUGGAAGUAGAGUUAAUUGUUUUCUUUAAGGAGCCAUCUAUUACUUAACUGAUGGCAGAAUUAUGAUGUUGCUGCAAA